GAUGAACGCUGGCGGCGUGCCUAAUACAUGCAAGUCGAGCGAACAGACGAGGAGCUUGCUCCUCUGACGUUAGCGGCGGACGGGUGAGUAACACGUGGAUAACCUACCUAUAAGACUGGGAUAACUUCGGGAAACCGGAGCUAAUACCGGAUAAUAUAUUGAACCGCAUGGUUCAAUAGUGAAAGACGGUUUUGCUGUCACUUAUAGAUGUAUCCGCGCCGCAUUAGCUAGUUGGUAAGGUAACGGCUUACCAAGGCAACGAUGCGUAGCCGACCUGAGAGGGUGGACGGGCAAAAUGGGAACGGAACAAGGGCCAAGCUCCCAAGGGAGGGAAGAAUAGGGGAACUUUCGGCAAGGGGGGAAGGUUGGAGGAGGAAAGGCGGGUGAGUUGUUAAGGUCUUCGGAUCGUAAAACUCUGUUAUUAGGGAAGAACAAAUGUGUAAGUAACUAUGCACGUCUUGACGGUACCUAAUCAGAAAGCCACGGCUAACUACGUG
RNAcentral lists this ribosomal RNA (497 nucleotides) under uncultured bacterium. RNAcentral's name for it is "partial 16S ribosomal RNA". It matches the Rfam family "Bacterial small subunit ribosomal RNA", at positions 28 to 507 of the family's 1533-position model. The record is from RNAcentral.